Molecule: ribosomal RNA, 253 nt
Filed under: uncultured bacterium
Lineage: Bacteria
Description: partial 16S ribosomal RNA
Rfam family: Bacterial small subunit ribosomal RNA
Source: RNAcentral
GACAGAGGGUGCGAACGUUGUUCGGAAUUACUGGGCGUAAAGGGCUCGUAGGCGGCCAACUAAGUCACACGUGAAAUCCCCAGGCUUAACCUGGGAACUGCGUGUGAUACUGGAUGGCUUGAAUUCGGGAGAGGGAUGCAGAAUUCCAGGUGUAGCGGUGAAAUGCGUAGAUAUCUGGAGGAAUACCGGUGGCGAAGGCGGCAUCCUGGACCGGCAUUGACGCUGAGGCGCGAAAGCCAGGGGAGCGAACGGG